Molecule: ribosomal RNA, 495 nt
Filed under: uncultured bacterium
Lineage: Bacteria
Description: partial 16S ribosomal RNA
Rfam family: Bacterial small subunit ribosomal RNA
Source: RNAcentral
GAUGAACGCUGGCGGCGUGCCUAAUACAUGCAAGUCGAACGCCGACGGGGGUGCUUGCUCUUCUGGACGAGUUGCGAACGGGUGAGUAAUGCGUAGGUAACCUGCCUGGUAGCGGGGGUAAACUAUUGGAAACGAUAGCUAUUACCCCAUCACAACACUUAUUACAUGAUGACUGCUUCAAAGGUGCCGCUGUUCCACUACCAGAUGGCUCUGCGUUGUAUUAGGUGGUUGGUGAGGUAACGGCGCACCAAGGCGGAGAUACAUAGCCGAGCUGACAGGGUGAACGACCACCCUGGGACUUGAACAACGGCCAGACUCCUACGGGGAGCAGCAGUAGGGGAUCUUCGGCAAUGGAGGGAAGGCUUGCCGAAGAACUGCGCGUGAGGGAAGGAGGGUCUUGGGGUGGAAAGGUCUGUUGGAAGGGAAGGACGAGCGUGGGAGUAGAAAGGUCGCGGUGUGACGGUAUCUUACGAGAAAGGAACGGCUAACUACGUG